Molecule: RNA transcript, 2596 nt
Organism: Populus euphratica (Euphrates poplar)
Lineage: Eukaryota; Viridiplantae; Streptophyta; Magnoliopsida; Malpighiales; Salicaceae
Gene name: ABC transporter G family member 14-like
Exons: 6
Source: RefSeq, a predicted model, not a curated record
CCCAGUUCAGUUUGGGAAGUCAAGUUACAAGAAAUUCCUUAACUUCCUCUACUCCUAAUUACAGCCAUCACUACCACCACUGACAACAACGGGUGUAUCUCCUCUCCCAGGCCAUGCCGCUCAACUCCAUAGUUCCCAAGCCAGACCACAAAAGUGCUCCCGUGGAAGGUCUGCGAAAGAUGUCCGAAAUCAACAACAGAGCUGUCGUCGCCUACCCAGGACAAGCCAAUUCACAAUCUGUCCACCAACUCACCAUAUAUCCUACGACCCUGAAGUUUGAGGAGGUGGUGUACAAGGUUAAACAGGAUCAGAAGGGAUUGUGCUGGGGUGGCACAUGGACCACCCGAGAAAAGACCAUACUGAAUGAGGUAACAGGUAUGGUUUGUCCAGGGGAGAUCCUAGCAAUGCUAGGUCCAUCUGGAAGUGGCAAAACCACCCUCCUUACGGCUCUAGGAGGUCGUCUAAGUGGUAAGCUAUCCGGAAAGAUCACGUACAACGGACAGCCUUUUUCCGGUGCCAUGAAACGACGCACAGGUUUCGUUGCUCAGGACGACAUUUUGUACCCACAUCUAACUGUGACUGAAACUCUUCUGUUCACUGCACUGCUAAGGCUACCCAAAACAUUAACCAGGGAUGAGAAAGCACAGCAUGUAGAACGAGUUAUGGCUGAACUGGGGUUGAGUCGGUGCCGGAACAGCAUGAUAGGGGGGCCACUCUUUAGAGGAAUAUCAGGAGGAGAGAAGAAGAGGGUUAGUAUUGGUCAAGAAAUGCUAAUCAAUCCAAGCUUGCUACUACUAGAUGAGCCCACAUCAGGUUUGGAUUCAACUACAGCACAAAGGAUCCUGACCACGAUCAAACGGCUAGCGAGUGGGGGCCGAACUGUCGUCACCACCAUUCACCAGCCCUCAAGCAGACUUUACCACAUGUUUGAUAAGGUAGUCUUGCUCUCUGAGGGACAUCCCAUCUACUACGGUCCUGCAUCUGCAGCUUUGGAAUAUUUUUCCUCCAUUGGAUUUUCUACUUCCAUGACUGUCAAUCCAGCUGAUCUCUUACUUGAUCUUGCGAAUGGCAUUGGUCCUGAUUCUAAAAAUGCCACUGACCAAGGUGAGAACAUGGAGCAAGAACAGAAGUUAGUGAAGGAAGCUCUUAUAUCUGCUUAUGAGAAGAAAAUUUCUACCAGACUGAAAGCUGAGCUUUGCAAUUCGGACCCGAAUAAUUACAACUAUACAAAAGAUGCCUCUGCAAAAACUGAAACAAAGUCAGAGCAAUGGUGCACAAGCUGGUGGUAUCAGUUCAAAGUGCUCUUUCAGCGGGGGCUAAGGGAGCGGAGGUACGAGUCCUUCAACAGGCUACGAAUUUUUCAAGUCCUCAGUGUCAGUAUACUUGGCGGACUUCUGUGGUGGCAUACACCAACUUCUCACAUUGAAGACCGCAUUGCACUGCUCUUCUUCUUCUCUGUUUUCUGGGGAUUUUACCCACUCUACAAUGCAGUUUUCACAUUUCCCCAGGAAAGAAGGAUGUUGGUUAAGGAACGAGCAUCGGGAAUGUAUCAUCUUUCAUCCUACUUCCUGGCUCGAACAUGCGGAGAUCUGCCAUUGGAGCUUGCGCUCCCAACUGCAUUCGUCUUCAUAAUCUAUUGGAUGGGCGGACUUAAAGCCGAUCCUAUAACUUUUAUACUCUCCCUACUUGUUGUUCUUUACAGCGUUCUUGUUUCUCAAAGUCUUGGAUUAGCCAUUGGUGCUCUUCUAAUGGACAUAAAACAAGCCACUACAUUAGCUUCAGUUACAACUCUGGUUUUUCUCAUUGCCGGAGGAUACUACGUUCAACAUAUCCCUCCUUUCAUAGUAUGGCUGAAGUACUUAAGCUACAGUUACUACAGUUACAAGCUUCUUCUUGGUGUCCAAUACAAUGAGGAUGAUUACUAUGAGUGCUCAAAGGGAGUCUUGUGCCGGGUUGGAGAUUUUCCUUCUGUCAAAUCAAUGGGUCUGAACCAUUUAUGGGUAGAUGUAGCAAUUAUGGCACUGAUGCUAGUGGGUUAUCGAUUGGUCGCUUAUCUGGCACUCCAUCGCGUGCAGCUGAGGUGAAAUUUAGCAGAAGUUUACUUCAAGAAACAGGACAGUUUGAAGAGUUUUCUCCUUCUUCAACUGAGGAAUAAUGUUAGGUUCAGAGUAUGGGAAUCAGUUUCAAAUCUAGUAAUAAAUGUCUAACAAUUCUGAAUUGAUGGAAUCAUAAAAGCAAGUGACAAAAGGAAAGGAAAUAAACGAAGAUAUGCACAUUUCCAAUUGCAGGAAAGAAGAAAACGACCUGACCUUGAAGUCCAAUACUCUAUUGAGUGGAACUGAUAUUUCGAUCUUUGUGGGGCUUCCAAAACCAAAUAUUGGUUUCUGUUUAACGGUUUUCUGCUGCAAGAGCAUGAACAGGAAAAAAGGCACUCUUCGACAACUCAUUGAAAGCGAUGGACAUGACAGAUCUGAAGCAAAGCAGAAUAAGGAAGCACCAUAUACCCGUUAUUAUACUAAAAUAUUUGAUAAUUAUUAAAAAAAAAAGAAUGAAUGGUGGCAGAGAGUUAGCUUUCGUUCAAGAACAACAUUAUGAG